This 5159-nucleotide long non-coding RNA is filed under the name Gallus gallus (chicken). RNAcentral's name for it is "lncRNA (ENSGALG00010021366.1)". Lineage: Eukaryota; Metazoa; Chordata; Aves; Galliformes; Phasianidae. The record is from RNAcentral.
GCACGGGGCCGGCGCGGCGAGCGGGGCGCGGCGGAGCCCGUCGGGUUUUGCACGCUGGCGGAGCGCCGGCGGUGAGCGGCCGCCCCGCGCCCGAAGCAGCGCGGCGCCCGCGUGUCCGGCGGCGGCUCCGGGCCGCUUUUUCCAACGUGCCCGUCGUGCGGGCGCGCGCAACCCGUAGUAAUCAAUCGGCGCGGAGACCUUCGCCGUCGUUCGAAGCCUCCUUAAGCUUUUGCUUAAGUGCCAAGGCAGCCGUCAGCUCGGCUUAGAAAUUACAAUUGGAAAUGAGACGCCGCCGAGCGUUGCAGCAGAUUCCCCACGAGCCCUCGGCACGAUGCGGCUCCCCUCGGAACCGCGGCCAAACGCGACGCUUUCAUUUCAAACCGGACCCGCCAAACACCUCCGUGCGAGCAAAAGCCCUCAAAGGAAAAGGCGGUGGUGACACCGGCGCCUCCGUCGGGAGCUGCUCCCUCCCUCGCCCCGGUGGCACACGUCGGCCAUCUCUGUGUUUCCGAAGGACGCGCUGAGCAGGCGGCACACGGCGCUGCCGGAUAACAGGGCAGGAGCCGCCUCGCACCGGGAGAUCCGUAUCAGACCAAAUUAAAUUUAAAAGCUCCCAUCUGCAAUUAGGCUCCUGCGGCGACUCGCGGGCAACGAAUGACACAUCCCUGCCCGCGGCUGCCUUUCCCGGCCUGCCUUCCCCGGCAGCCCCGCUCGGGAAGGCGUUGCUCGGGGCGAGCUGCGGGCUCAGCCCCGCUCUCCUCUCCCUGCCCUCCCCCAGCGGAGUCAAGGGGAAAACACGAGUGAGCGUCACCCCAAAAUGCAUAGAGGGGGAAAAAAGCAAAGCAGAAGCUGCAGUGGCACUGCUUUGGGAUGCCCAGCAACACCCAUCCAGCUCUGAGAUCUGCUGCACUGCUGGCUACGGGGCUACGUGGGCUCUGGGGGAUCUGGGGUGGCCUUCAUAUCGUGCUGGCCCGGGCCCCGUGCCUCCAGCUAAGGAGUCGUGCUUGCAGCACAAGCGAACAUUUGAGCGUCAAUAAGGUGGUAGUGUUAUUUAUAGACUCCUAUCUGAGCUAAAAGCUACGGGAAUCGAUGCCCUGCAGAUGAGGGCUUCCAGGAUCUGGUGGUGAUAAAGUUCUCGGAUGCUGCCAGGAGACGAAGCACCACCACAUCUCCUCUUAGCCCGAUUUUCCAUUACAUCUCUGCGGGAGGAGCAAUGGGUGCAGCUGCUUCACCCCAGGCUGCCAGCAGCAGCGUGCACAGCUCUUGCCAUCACCAGCGUGAUGGAUCACACGUUGCCUAAUUCCCUGCUCUGCCCCUCACCACGUUCCCAGGUAUGUGGGAGAGCACCCGCUAACGGCCAGCCUUGAGCUCAGGGAUGCCCCAGGACACAGCACUGUCGCCCUGCUUCUCAUCUCAGAGGGCUGCUGCGGCCUCCAGCAACUCCCUCCUUCCACUGAAGCGACCAAAUCCAAGCAGGCAGGCAAACAAACAGCUGCUUUUGAAGGCGAGAGCGAAACGUGACGUUCGUUCCAGGCUGUGGUAAUGCAUCACAUGAGCUGGAGAAGUAUUCUUUGUGCCUCUUGGGCAAAACGUGAGUUUUGGAACCCGAGGAGCUGGUUGCUGUUUGUAUGCACCCCACGUCCCAAGGAGCCUUCCCACUUGGUGCCCACGCCGAGCGUUCCCCCAGAGCUCUGCAGGCGCUCCGCAGCCAUACAUUCCUUAACCCACCCCCUCCUCCUGCAGGAUGCCAUCUCCUUUCCUCUUCAUUUGACACAGACAAGAAGCCGAGGUAGCGUGAGGACACAGGCUGUGGGUAGGCAGGGAGCGGGGAGCCGCGUGCCGUCCUGCGCCCAUCCCACAGCCACGCUUUCCGUCCCAAAUCCAGUGCCCAACACAGGGCCGGGCCGCAGCCUCCCGCUGGGAACUGGACGACAGGCUGCUUUGGCUCUGGGGUGCCCAGAUGAUGCCCGGCACGGCAGCUGUGGGCACGGAACUGUUGGGGCGCUCCUCUUGCAAAGGGCCUUUUGUAGAAGCGAGAGCAGCCCCGGCCACCUGUACUGCCCGCAGGCUGCUAGCAGGAAGCAAGCAGGGCCAUCAAACUCAGCAGGCGUGUCGGGGGCACCUCCGGCCCCCCGGGCACACACGGCUGGUUUGUUCUGCCCGCUGCUCAGCGGGGAUGGGAGGAGCCGGCUCCUAUCCUGGGCCAAACCCUCUGGCAGCGCUCGGUGAGCUCGCAGCCACCCGUGAGGCUGUACCCACGGAGUGGAGAGGCAGCAGGAUUAGCAGGCAGGGCAGGAGCAGAUUAGUGGCCGUAUCCAGGUCUGCACACGUGUGACAGGGCAGUAGGGCAGAGCCACGAAGGGAGGAGCGUGUUCAUCGAUCACAUGGAGGAAAACCCUACAGGCUACUGGAAAUCAGUUAUAAUGCAACUGCCCGCAGCAGCCCUGCAUGCCCUAGAGGUCCCCAGCCCACCGCUGAACUCAGUGCAGGCUUCCUUCAUCAGUCCCUUAGGGACAGAGCUCUCCUGUCACUGCCUGGGGAUACCUAUUUCAGGGAGCUAUGCUCACCUGUGUGCCACGGUCCCAUCCUACACUGCAGACCCAGGCUGUGCCGUCACCGCUGGCAGGGGGCUGCGCUGUCGUCCCACUGCCCCUUCCUGCUGCUGGACCUGCGGGACGUGCGGGCAGUGCUGCUGAAAUGGGGCCGUGGGGGCCUUUCCACUUCAGCAAGCACAAACAAACCCCAUUGUCUGCUGGCUCAGCAAGGGGCCCGGGCGCGUGUGGGGCUCCAGCCUCAUCUGUCAGCCUGAGGGGAGGCCCGGGGUGUCCCCAAGGCAGGGCAGCACUGCUGGAACAUGGGGCUUCAGCGCAGGCUGGGGGCACAAAUCCUCUGCCAAAGCCACUGCCAAGGGUCUCCCUUGCUGCUGCCUCCUGGAUGCGGCCCUUUCCACAGCAGUUCCUCCAUUCCCAUUCCCUUUCCACACCCCUGCUCCCCUCUACAGCUCCACUGACCCUUUGCUCCCUCUGCAAGCAUUUACUGCCUAAUGGCAGCUAUUAAACAGAGCCACAGGGCAGCUGGUUACUGAAUGACAGCCACCACACCACGGGUAUAGCACUGUUCUCUAUUCCACUGCGGGCAUCUUCCACCUGCAAGGAGCUGGGCUGAGACCUUGGGAAAUACGGGACAACACACAGUGUGGGCUCCUGGUUACACAAGUCAACCCCUGUGAGAUGCUCCGAGGCAUUGGGAAACCACAGCCCCGGGGCCAGCAGAGUGCCCCGUCCCAUGAGGCCACCACGCUCCUUGCCCCAAGUGUCCUUGGCAGCAGCGUGGCCAUACAAACCCGGAGUGGGUGGCCCACUGCUGCGGUGCCCAGGGUCACAUCCAGCCCUUGGUGGCAGCGCCAACACCCCGUGAAGGAGCAGAGCCGCUGGGGAAGGAGCCCGAUGGCGCCCAGCCAUGCUUGUAAAAUGCACCUGGGGAGCUGGGAAAGGGAUGACCUGCCAAGCAGAAGGGUCAGCUGCUGCCACGCGGUCCCCUCCCUGCCCAAAGCCCAUCCACACCGAGUGACAAUCAGGAGCCAUGCCUUCCCAAGGCACAGGGACAGCGGGCAGGGCCACGUGUGGCUUUCAAGGAGUGCCAUCACGGCCGGAUGCUGCUCACCCACCAUGGGGUUCUUAGGGACGGCGCCACGGGGACCGCAGGGACCAAAGGGAUGGCACCACAGGGACUGUGGCACGCAGCCACCUGCAGAGAGGCAGCUCCCGGGAGCUCUCCUAGCAGUGCCUGCCCCAGGCUGAACCCCGCCUGAUGGCUGCUGGCUGCCGAGGAGGAAUUCGGCUGUGUAAACGCCUGGCACAGCUGAGUGGAUCCUGUUUGAAGAAGGAAGCCUGCGCUGUCAUGCUUUCCCCUCCGGGCAGAUCAGCGGUGGCUGAACGCUCCCAAACAUCUCCUGGGGAGUUGUGCAGAAGGGCCCUUUCCCACAGCUCCGGCACACGGGCCGCCCAUUAUUCCCCCCGCUGCCAGCCGAGCUCGCCUGCGUUCCCAGCCCAUAAGAAGGCCCCGGGGCCAACCGGCGGAGCGCAACAAUGGGACAGCAAAAACAGCACAAAGCCGUGGCCAGGCGCCGAGCAAACCGAGCGCCAGGGAACGGGGGAAAGUCUACGCUCCCCAUCAGCUAUCCCAUGGCCUCCGUGGCCCCGGUGCAGAGUGCGCCCUUGCUCAGGGGAUGCGCUGGGAGAUGGAAAUGCGCAGGGGUGCCACCAGGGUUUGGCGUGCGGGUGAGGAGGUGAACGGAGCGGAGCACGGGGUGCCUCAAAAGAACAGCACCUGCUUCUCCCUGGGCGAGGGAUGCUGGGUACCAGGCUCACCGCGGCCCCGUUCCCGGCUCCCGUUUAAGCCGGGAGCCCCGCACCCAACCCGCGUCCCGCCCCUCAUCCCGCGCACGGCGGGGACGCGGGGCGCUGCCGACCCCGGGGCACGGCGGCCCCGAACGCACGGAGGAGCGCGGCCCGGUGCUGCCCUCUGGCGGCCGCGGCCGGCGGUGCGCCCUCCCGCGGAGCCUCGGGGCCGGGAACCGGGAGCGGUGCGGCGGGGGCUGAGGACUCGGCGCAUCCGUCCUCGGCUGCUCGGGACUCGCAGGCGGUCUCCAGGGAAACAGCCUGCCCUUCCUACUAAAGUCCCAAAGCCAGGCGAUCUUUCUGACAGAACAGAAGGCGAGAGCGGCCCCCGCAGCAGCGCUGUCGGCUUCCCGUGAAAUCCUCCUUCCGAGGAGGAGCCGAGGGCGCCGCCCGCUCCUUGCCUUUUCCAGUCCCCGCGGGAUCCGGCAUCUCCAGAAGCUCGCCUGCCUUUCGCUGGUGCGGCGACCGGGUUUGCGGAGCCGGGGAGCUACGCCGCCUCUGGGAUGCGGUGCCGGGGCCGAUGGGAUCCCCGCAGAAAUUCCCAGCUCCCCGAGCGGCCGGCGAGGUCCCCGAACGGCAGCCGUCCCGCUCGGCCUUCGAGCUCCGCCCUACGCGGGGUCGGGACGCUGCGAUCCGACGGCCUGCUGGCCCGGGCGUCGCACCGGGAACGGGGACGGCACUCGGGGAGGACGGAGCGGUGGGAGCGGUGCCAGGGCUGAGGGAGGGCGCUCAACGGGCAGCUCGCAAAUAAAAAGGUCA